Molecule: long non-coding RNA, 730 nt
Organism: Oncorhynchus keta (chum salmon)
Lineage: Eukaryota; Metazoa; Chordata; Actinopteri; Salmoniformes; Salmonidae
Exons: 3
Source: RefSeq, a predicted model, not a curated record
GAAGAGAAGUGUUUGUGUUAGAGAAGGUACCUCUGGUGGACAGACUGGGUGAGGAAGAGAAGGGUUUGUGUUAGAGGAGGUACCUCUGGUGGACAGACUGGGUGAGGAAGGGAAGGGUUUGUGUUAGAGGAGGUACCUCUGGUGGACAGACUGGGUGAGGAAGAGAAGGGUUGUGUUAGAGGAGGUACCUCUGGUGGACGGACUGGGUGAGGAAGAGAAGGGUUGUGUUAGAGGAGGUACCUCUGGUGGACAGACUGGGUGAGGAAGGGAAGGGUUGUGUUAGAGGAGGUACCUCUGAUGAACAGACUGGGUGAGGAAGAGAAGAGAGGUGAGAGGUAUAAGGAGAGGAGAGGGGAGGAGAGGAGAGGGAUGGACAGAGAGAGAAGAGAGGAGAGAGAGGAGUGUAGAGAGAGGUGUAAGGAGAGGUGAGGAGAGAAGAGAGAGAGAGGUGUGAGAGGAGAGGUGAGGUGAGAAGAGAGAGAGGAGUGUAGAGAGAGGUGUAAGGAGAGGUGAGGUGAGAAGAGAGAGAGAAGAGAGAGAGAGGUGUAAGGAGAGGUGAGGUGAGAAGAGAGAGAGGUGUGAGAGGAGAGGUGUGAAAAGGCAACCAGCAGUGCGACUGGAGAGAUCGUGAUUUUUGUCCUUCUAUCCGUUAGUUCAUUUUCCUCUUCCUGGAGCGCAUUCGUCUCCUCCUCUGCCGAAACAGGUGGCGGAAGUUGAUGAACAGACCUGG